UAAGAUUUAUUUUCAUUUCAGUUUGAGUUUUUGUUCUUAUUUAUUUCCAGUUAUUCAUUUUACUGCUUCAAUUUAAAUUCAUUCCAAUGCAACAUAUCUAAUUUUCAUUUUGUAUGUAAC
Sinocyclocheilus anshuiensis is the source of this 120-nucleotide long non-coding RNA. RefSeq lists it as uncharacterized. The transcript is spliced from 3 exons. NCBI's taxonomy places the organism in Eukaryota, Metazoa, Chordata, Actinopteri, Cypriniformes, Cyprinidae. The record is from RefSeq and is a predicted model, not a curated record.